Molecule: ribosomal RNA, 44 nt
Filed under: Fusarium graminearum
Lineage: Eukaryota; Fungi; Ascomycota; Sordariomycetes; Hypocreales; Nectriaceae
Description: partial 28S ribosomal RNA
Source: RNAcentral
UGAAUGUGUACCUCGGAUCAGGUAGGAAUACCCGCUGAACUUAA